RNAcentral lists this ribosomal RNA (475 nucleotides) under uncultured organism. RNAcentral's name for it is "partial 16S ribosomal RNA". It matches the Rfam family "Bacterial small subunit ribosomal RNA", at positions 335 to 801 of the family's 1533-position model. The record is from RNAcentral.
ACUCCUGCGGGAGGCAGCAGUGGGGAAUAUUGCACAAUGGGCGCAAGCCUGAUGCAGCCAUGCCGCGUGUAUGAAGAAGGCCUUCGGGUUGUAAAGUACUUUCAGCGGGGAGGAAGGCAAUACGGUUAAUAACCGUGUUGAUUGACGUUACCCGCAGAAGAAGCACCGGCUAACUCCGUGCCAGCAGCCGCGGUAAUACGGAGGGUGCAAGCGUUAAUCGGAAUUACUGGGCGUAAAGCGCACGCAGGCGGUCUGUCAAGUCGGAUGUGAAAUCCCCGGGCUCAACCUGGGAACUGCAUUCGAAACUGGCAGGCUUGAGUCUUGUAGAGGGGGGUAGAAUUCCAGGUGUAGCGGUGAAAUGCGUAGAGAUCUGGAGGAAUACCGGUGGCGAAGGCGGCCCCCUGGACAAAGACUGACGCUCAGGUGCGAAAGCGUGGGGAGCAAACAGGAUGAGAAACCCUAGUAGUCCCAUGAU